UGGCUCAGGACGAACGCUGGCGGCGUGCCUAAUACAUGCAAGUCGAGCGGAUUUAUCCUUCGGGAUAAGUUAGCGGCGGACGGGUGAGUAACACGUAGGCAACCUGCCUAUAAGACUGGGAUAACUAUCGGAAACGAUAGCUAAGACCGGAUAACUGAUUUUCUCGCAUGAGAAAAUUUUGAAACACGGAGCAAUCUGUGGCUUAUAGAUGGGCCUGCGGCGCAUUAGCUAGUUGGUGGGGUAACGGCCUACCAAGGCGACGAUGCGUAGCCGACCUGAGAGGGUGAACGGCCACACUGGGACUGAGACACGGCCCGGACUCCUACGGGAGGCAGCAGUAGGGAAUCUUCCGCAAUGGACGCAAGUCUGACGGAGCAACGCCGCGUGAGUGAUGAAGGUUUUCGGAUCGUAAAGCUCUGUUGCCCUAGACGAACAGCAAGAGGAGUAACUGCCUUUUGUGUGACGGUAUAGGAGAAGAAAGCCCCGGCUAACUACGUGCCAGCAGCCGCGGUAAUACGUAGGGGGCAAGCGUUGUCCGGAAUUAUUGGGCGUAAAGCGCGCGCAGGCGGUCAAUUAAGUUGGGUGUUUAAGCCCGGGGCUCAACCCCGGUUCGCAUCCAAAACUGGUCGACUUGAGUGUAGGAGAGGAAAGUGGAAUUCCACGUGUAGCGGUGAAAUGCGUAGAGAUGUGGAGGAACACCAGUGGCGAAGGCGACUUUCUGGCCUAUAACUGACGCUGAGGCGCGAAAGCGUGGGGAGCAAACAGGAUUAGAUACCCUGGUAGUCCACGCCGUAA
RNAcentral lists this ribosomal RNA (795 nucleotides) under uncultured bacterium. RNAcentral's name for it is "bacterial SSU rRNA". It matches the Rfam family "Bacterial small subunit ribosomal RNA", at positions 20 to 805 of the family's 1533-position model. The record is from RNAcentral.